CCUACGGGAGGCAGCAGUGAGGAAUAUUGGUCAAUGGACGAGAGUCUGAACCAGCCAAGUAGCGUGAAGGAUGACUGCCCUAUGGGUUGUAAACUUCUUUUAUAUGGGAAUAAAAUGUUCCACGUGUGGGAUUUUGUAUGUACCAUAUGAAUAAGGAUCGACUAACUCCGUGCCAGCAGCCGCGGUAAUACGGAGGAUCCGAGCGUUAUCCGGAUUUAUUGGGUUUAAAGGGAGCGUAGGUGGAUUGUUAAGUCAGUUGUGAAAGUUUGAGGCUCAACCGUAAAAUUGCAGUUGAAACUGGCAGUCUUGAGUACAGUAGAGGUGGGCGGAAUUCGUGGUGUAGCGGUGAAAUGCUUAGAUAUCACGAAGAACUCCGAUUGCGAAGGCAGUUCACUGGACUGCAACUGACACUGAGGCUCGAAAGUGUGGGUAUCAAACAGGAUUAGAUACCCUAGUAGUC
This 460-nucleotide ribosomal RNA is filed under the name uncultured bacterium. RNAcentral describes it as "partial 16S ribosomal RNA". It matches the Rfam family "Bacterial small subunit ribosomal RNA", at positions 338 to 795 of the family's 1533-position model. The record is from RNAcentral.